This 471-nucleotide ribosomal RNA is filed under the name uncultured bacterium. RNAcentral describes it as "partial 16S ribosomal RNA". It matches the Rfam family "Bacterial small subunit ribosomal RNA", at positions 355 to 841 of the family's 1533-position model. The record is from RNAcentral.
UGGGGAAUAUUGCACAAUGGGCGCAAGCCUGAUGCAGCAACGCCGCGUGAGGGACGACGGCCUUCGGGUUGUAAACCUCUUUUAGUAGGGAAGAAGCGAAAGUGACGGUACCUGCAGAAAAAGCACCGGCUAACUACGUGCCAGCAGCCGCGGUAAUACGUAGGGUGCGAGCGUUGUCCGGAAUUAUUGGGCGUAAAGAGCUCGUAGGCGGUCUGUCGCGUCUGCUGUGAAAACCCGAGGCUCAACCUCGGGCCUGCAGUGGGUACGGGCAGACUAGAGUGCGGUAGGGGAGAAUGGAAUUCCUGGUGUAGCGGUGGAAUGCGCAGAUAUCAGGAGGAACACCGAUGGCGAAGGCAGUUCUCUGGGCCGUAACUGACGCUGAGGAGCGAAAGCGUGGGGAGCGAACAGGAUUAGAUACCCUGGUAGUCCACGCCGUAAACGUUGGGCGCUAGAUGUGGGGGACCAUUCCAC